This 10601-nucleotide long non-coding RNA is filed under the name Homo sapiens (human). RNAcentral describes it as "non-protein coding MIR4432HG:5". Lineage: Eukaryota; Metazoa; Chordata; Mammalia; Primates; Hominidae. The record is from RNAcentral.
AGUCACAGAACUGACUCCCCGGAGGGCUCGCUGCCUUGCUUUUCUCUGGUCCUUGUUCAUCGCAUACCUCCAGGCAACUUCAGCCUCACCUUUGCCCUAAGGUGCUGACGAGGACUUUCACCUGGGAGAAGAGCUCAUUCUUCCUAUCGUUUCCCUGGGAAGAACAUGGCUGAAACAACUUACUGUACAGACCACAGAAGUGAGACCAAAAACACUGAGAUGAGGAAGAGGUGUGGCAAAAUGGCUUUGUUGUGGUGGAAGAUGAAUUGUCGUCUCAAGGGGGCAGAGGACUGCCUGUGAGCUUCCUUAACAUGGAGCCCGAAACCGGUGUUUGCACAGUCCUUGAGGAAAGGGUUUGCUCAGCAAAUUAACAGUGUGAACAAGACUGCAGGAGGGACCAUUUACCUACCUGAGAACAAACUGUUUUCUAGCUCUUCAGCAGCACCACUUACGCACAAUUUUCAUGUGCUAAUGGCAAGUGAUUAUUACCUAGUUAGUGAAUAUACGUGGAAGACAUAAAAUAGCCUUUACUAUCCCCUGGUUGAGACAACUCGCUAACUCAGACUUGCCAGGUGCUCUGAAUUAGAGAGGUGCUACAGGAAUGUCCUCUCGGAUUUUUGGCGUUGAGCAUGCAUGCAUGUGAGCAGGGUGCCAUUUCUUCAGAAGAAAAAUAAAUGACAACAUUCUGUUUUGGGGCUUGAAACUGCAUGACUGAAAACAUAAAGGUGACAACUGUGAUAUGCUUUUUUAAUGAGGGCAGAGAUGUCAAGAGAAACCAGCCUUCUAGGAACAAAAGAAUACUCUGUCAGGUGCAGUGGACUUAAGACCUUUUUCUCUCUUGGAAUAAUGUCCUUAAAAAUAACCAAAUUUUCCAUUCAAUAGAAAAAUGUUCAUCCCUUCCUCCCCAUCAAUAUGAAUUGUUGUCUUGGAGCAUGGGGCACUAGCAAGCCAUAUUGAUUUUGGAAAUUAAAAUGGGAAUGUUGAAGAGCGUUUUCAAAGAAUUAUAUGGGAUUUUAGCCAUCUGAAUGGCUUUCUUUUUAGGGUCAGUGAGAGUAUUCUGGCUAAAAUGUAGCCCAUUGCUUUAGAAAUAGUUUCCUUAAUGUCUUUCCUGUCGCCCCUGCUGGGUCUGUGCAGGAAAUGUAAACCAACAUACAAUAUGUGUGUUUAUUUUCAUGUCCCAUUUUAUGGGAAAUUGGAUGGGGUAUUCCACUGAGGCUUCAGCUAUGAUGUGUUGACAAUAUAGGGGGAGCAGGGAAGACUAUUGCUGAAAGAGUUUACAAGGGAAGAAGGGGGUUCUAUAACCUUUGAGAACUAUGGGGAAGAGCCAGGCCUGCCAGCGAGAGCUCCGUUACUCAGGGGCCAGAGGGAGGCAUUCAAUAAUGAAACCGGCUGGUGAGUUGCUCAUCCAUUAAAUGACAUCCUCACCAGCCAGCCCCAGUUUCCAGCACAGUUGGGAUGUUGUGCCACACCUCAUCUUGUGAGAUGUUAUGUCUGAUACUGUGUGGUCUUCCUGCCUCUGCUGGCCAUAGGAAACUCAGGCUACCAAACACCCAAUCCAGAGUCCAUAAGGGGUCACUAACUGGGUGGGGGGCAGAGUUACCCGGAGGACCCCUGCAGGAAUGCAGAGGUUAGAGAUUGUCAAACCAGUCAUAUCCUGGCCUUGUGCAGGUGGUGGCAAAACUGAACCUUUUCCUGGGAUCCUACUGGAAAAGCAAUUUAAAAAGUGCCUGGGUAGCACGGGGCCUGCUCAGGGAGUGUGGGUCCGUGUAUUUCCUGUAAAAUGUUUGAAAUCUCAGCGUUAGGCCCAUCUGUAAGACAGCAGUAGGUGUCAGUGGGAAUACAUGUUUUUCCUGCAGAAGAAAAAAGUUAGCAUGUUUGCAUUUUAAGCUCAUAAACAGCUGCAGCCUGGACCGCCAUGGCAAGCACGUUGGGGCUGGAGGAGCUGAGAGCUGCUGUUUGCCGGUGCACAGCAGCAGUUUCCAGUUGUAGACUGAAAUAUUGUAUAUAUCUCCAAUUUCAAUAGGACUUUGUUUUGUGUUUCUAAACAAGGAAAUUGAGGAGUGUCAAAUUAAUUUUUUAGUCCUGGUCAUUUUUUAAUUCCAGUUGGCCAGCUCGGCCUGGAUUUGUACAAAUACCGAUUCCAGAAAAUAGUUGAAGUACUAAACUUAGUAAAUAAAUGUGUUUAUCUUUCAAAUAGAUUCAAGAUGAAAUACCCAGCACUUCUCCAGGGCAUUUCUGUCCCUGCCUAUUCAUUUUAGCAGCUUGACCAAACUAAUUCCCUUCCCUUAGUGUAAUAUUUAAAUGGACUUCUGGCAUCUGAUACAUUGCCUGCUGCUCCAAUUCCCUAAGAAAGUCAUUUAAAUAGAUUUUGACUAUCUUGCAUCUACUAUAAAGCCAGUCAACUAAAAAUCCUGGUCACUUCUCUCUAAUUUUAGAUGAGCCAUGUGGAAUUAUUGGCUUUUGAGAAAAUUCAUCUUAUCAGAGCUGAAAGUUUUGGAUUUAAUUUUUAACUAUCUUUUUUUUUUUCUUUCCCAGCAAGAAAAAUGAAUGAAAAGACAAAUAAGAAAGUGUUGCCAUACAAAGUUAGCGAGCUGUCAGAUAGAUAUAACUACUAAAUGAAAGUCCACAUUAAACUUUUGGGGCAAGAUUCUCACUCCGCCUUCCCUCAACUCCAAGCCUUUGCUCCACUCCACUCAUGCCCAAUCUGAGAAAGGAAAAGAAGCAAGUUUGACACGUAUCCUGCCUUCCAGGAAUUUGCGAUCCAGUUGAAGAGACAAGCUCUACCCAUUCAGAGGGUGGCUUGUGUGAUUUGGGUUUUCUGCUAGGCACAGGAUGAGGGGUGCAGAGGGGAGUGGGGGAAAUAGAUCCUUAUGUAUUGGCUGGGGACCAGGACUUGGGGGUAUUAUAAUAAGUUGGCCUGAAGGAAUAGCGAGAGGUGGGUAUGUGAAAAGCAAGCUGAUAACAGCAUAGAGAUGGCAAAUAUAAGGGGAAAGUGGCCACAAAAGUGAGCAAUGGAAUGCCAGGUGCAGUGGCUCACGCCUGUAAUCCCAGUACUUUGGGAGGCUGAGGCGGGUGGAUCACAAGGUCAAGAGAUUGAGAUCAUCCUGGCCAACAUGGUGAAAUCCCGUCUCUACUAAAAAAAUACAAAAAUUAGCUGAGCGUGGUGGCACGCACCUGUAGUCCCAGCUACUUGGGAGGCUGAGGCAGGAGAAUCACUUGAUCCUGGGAGGUGAGAGUUGCAGUGAGCCGAGAUUACGCCACUGCACUCCAGCCUGGUGACAGAGUAAGACUCCAUCUCAAAAAGGAAAAAAAAAAAAAAAGUAAGCAAUGGAGAGCAAAAGGUGGAGGUGGUGGACAGGGACUCGGCCAGUCUGACUGCAUCCCCAGAAAGAGAGAGGACCUGGUGGAGAGUGUGGGGCUAUGGUGGGGAGGCCUGGAGUGUCGGGCCAAGGACUUUAGAUUUUUUGUUGUAGCCAGUGGGACGGGAUUGUCAUGAGAUGUGGUGGAGGACACAGAAACCUGAGGCAGAGAGGCUCCUGUUCUCCACACUCUGGGGCCUUGGGUGGUGCUUAUGUUAAAUCAUGACAUGAGUCACCAGAAGGAGAGCCACCCAGAUGCGGGAGGGCAGAGAAUCUCUCUGAGUUGGGAGUAGGGAGAGAAUGCUGCAGACUGGAGUUGUCUGGGAAGGUGUCUUGGAAGACGAGGAUUUUGCCAGGUGAAAGGGAGUAGUAGGAAAGUUAUGGUAUUUUGAACCAUCUUCUACUACAGGAAGAUGAUUAUUAAAGCAGCACUAGACCCUACCUUGGCUGUCAAGAUGCAUGAAUAAAAAUACACUUGUCACCAUAUUUACUUCCUGUUCCCUUUCUUCCCGUUUAAAAUAGUAAUUGAUGCUUUCAUUUUUUAAAACAGAUGUUCUCCAUUUUUCAGCAUGUUGUGGGGUUGCAGAGUAUGCGUGGGGCAGCAGCUGGUGAUAACAUCUUUUAUUUUUUAAUUUUCUGGCUGUGGAUUGGAAUUAGAAUCAGGAUUUAGAAAUGGGGAAGCCGUGGCUUGUGGCCUGCAUCCUGACGUCUUACAUUACAUCUCAGGUAGCAGUUUGUCCUUAUGAAUCAAACCUGCCAUGCUACUGACAAAUAGGAGGUAUUUUUAUAUGAUGUAAGUUAUACCUGCUUGUGGUAAAACAAAACCAAACCAGAAGGUUUCCUUUUCUCCUAAUUUGUCUCUCCAGAGGAAACCACUGUUAACAGUUUGGUUUAUAUCCUUUCAGUCUUUUUUCCUUUUCAGAUAAUAACAGUGGUAAGAACUAACCUUUACUGGGGAAUCUGGACAUGCCAGACACAAUUCUAAGUGCUUUACAUAUAUGAACUCAUUUAGUCCCUGUGCCAGUCCUCUGAGGCAAUAUGACUGUUUUCCCCAUUUGAGAGAUAAGGAAACUGAGAUGUUAAGUAAUUUUCUGGAGCUCACGUAGGUAGUAGGCAGUGAAGCCAGGAUCAAUAUCCAAGUGUUUUGAGUCCUAAAUCUGUGCUCUUAGUUAUGACUUUAUGCUGCUGCCAUGAAUAUGUAUAGUGCAUAUACAUAUUACUACCUAGUUCUUAAAAAGAUGAAAUCAUACUAUAAGUGUUGUUCUGUGGUUUGCUUUUUUGAUAAACAUUAAUACUGGGGACAUUUCCCCAUUUCAGUAUAUAUAAAUUUAAUUCUUUUUAAAAUGUACCUACAAUUAUACUGAUGUAGCAUCAUUUUCAAAAACGAUACUCUUCCUUCUGGCCAUUUGGGUUUGCUCCAGAUUUUUGCUAUUAUAAACAAUAUUACAGUGAACCUCUCAACAAUAGCAGUAGCAACAACUACCAUUAAUCCUGAAUAAUGUGCUUACUGUGGGUGGGGUCCUAUUCUAAACCUUUUCCAUGUAUAAACUCAUUUAAACAUACAUCUUUAUAUAAGUGGGCUAGUGUUUCCAUAGGCUAGAUGCCUGGAAGAGGGACUGGUAGGUUAGAGGCCAAGUGCAUUUAAAAUUUUGAUUGCAAUUUUCCUCCCCAAACAGGCAAGUAUUUAUUAAGUGUCAGCUCUAAGUGCAACACCCUCUUAGGCAUUCUUUGGAAUGCACAGACACAUGAGAUAGGGGCCCUCCCACAGGUUUACAAGAGUGGAGAGACAAGCUGGUACAAGUCGCCAGGUGAUGAAAACAGUCAUUCCACAAGGCAAAGCUGGUGGCAUAUGCUGGGAGCACUACAGGUGUGUAGAGAGCAGGGAGGUCUGUGAGGGGUGGAAGGUAUCAGGGGGAGCUUCAGAGAGGAACUGGGGCUGAAUGAGGCUUGGAAGGAUGGAAAGAUGGAGGGAAGGGGUUGGAGAGCAAUCCUGGGGAAGGGCCAAGAAGAACGAGGCUUAGGCGGGAGGUGGUGUAGUUGAAGAAUGAGACAGUGAGUCUGUGGGAUUGCCAUCCUGACUGAAGCAAAGAGUGUGUUUUGGGAACUGGUCAGCCAGCCGACCAUCAAGAGAAGAGUAGAAUAAGAGUAGAAAUGGACAUCCACCUGUCACAUGACUAAAUUGUUUAACCCAAAUAAAAGCUAAUCAAUUAACAAAUAAAGCUAAUCAAUUAGCUUUAUAAAUGAAGCUAAUCAGUUGCUAAACUGUGCUCUAUUCUUCUGCCUUGACAUAAGAAUCUUUGACCUGGAACAGGUUUGAAUUUAGAAUUUUCCACUCCAUGGACUAUGGCACUGGAGGGUGGUGAAUUACAUUUCCCGAUCAGUGCCAACAGAAAGAGAAUAGGGCUUGUGAUAAUCAGAUAUAUUUGCCCAAAUCACUUGGAUAAGUUUUUCUCCUCUGUCAAUGCUGAAGCACGCUGGUGCUGGAGCAGGAAAUCACAGCCCAGAGAAGGUGAGCAGGUGCCCUGUUCACACAGAGCUUGGAAGUUCUAAUCUCUGACCUGAAGUGAGACAUUGAAAUAGAAAUCUUUCUCUUCCUCCUCCCUCCUUACCCUACCCCCAGCCAACAAAGAAAGAAAUGCAGGUGCAUUUAACUUUGCCUGUAACUUUCUGUUCUGCAAUGAAAAUGGCCUCCUGUGUUUUUGUUUCACAAGCACAAUUAAAAGUCUAAUUUCAAAGCUACAAUAGGGAAGCAAGGGCGUCAGUAAGAAACCCAGAACUUGAUGCAAAUAAUUGAGCCAUUUUUAAUUUGUUCAGUGUGAUCAGGUAGGGGGAAAUUCUAUAUUUAAAUAUAACCAACCACCUUGAACCUUGUAUGGAAGUAACUGUGUAAGAAAUGUUUGGUAACAUGUUGCUGAAGUUGUAAAAUGUGUACCUCCCAAAACAAGGAUAUUCAAAAGUUAAGUUUCUCACGGUGAUGUUAACACAUCCGCAUCGCGUUGCACAUGCUGUACAAUUCUGCAUCAUAAAAAAUGGAUUUACAAGCUUAAGUACUACUCGGGAAUAUUACAUGUGUGGAAUGUGGCUGGGUUAAUGUCACUGUGAGACCCUUAGCCGUUGCCAAGGAGGUUUCCUGAGCCUCAGCUGGGGCCAGGCGGGGGCAGACUGGAGAAAGCCGCUGCUGCCUGGGCCUGCAACUUUGCCUAAUGAACAAAAACACCAUUUUGGCCUCAAAGAUCUUGAGCUCCACAAGCCACAAAUCACAACGAGGAAGAAAUCAAACAUUAAGGUUUCUCUCGGAUUAUUAUUGACCAGGACGGUCUGGAAAUUAUAGGAUCUUUCUAAAUGUGGGCAGGGGCUUCCGUGAGGUCCAGCAACACAGUGGCAUUUGCUUUUACUGCUGCUAUUUCUCUGUUUCUGGUUUUACUUACUCUGACCCCUCUCCACACCAGAGCCGGUGUGAGAGCUGCUGUCACCUGGCCUUUCCCAGAGCUGGAGGGAGUCCCUGGGGGACGAGUUGGGUGGCAGGUGAUGCGUGUAGACUAGGAUGUGAGAUUAACUCCAGUCCGAAAGGGCCCUGGGAUAAAUUACACAUGUCCGAACAUAUCCAUAGAGGAGGAGUUGAGUGGAAAUAGGCUUCAGGGGCAGCCAAAGAGGGAAAAACAUGAGGACAUUGUGUGUGUGUGUGUGUGUGUGUGUGUGUUGCUGUAAUGAUGGGAGGGAGGAUGCAAGGCAGGACUUACGGGUCCUAGCCAGCUGUGCUGCACCUGGUCCGUGAGGCAGUGUGGAGUCCACCGAAACGACCCUCAAGCCUGAUGCCAGUUCCAGAAGCCCAGUCGGCAACUCUGCCACCUUACACUCCUCUCCCCGUGGAACUGCCUGGGGGUGCUGGCAUGGGGACAUGAGGGAUGUCUGACAGGAGAAACAAGCAUUUCAAGAGUGUGUGGUUGGCUUCGCUGUCCUUUGGGGGGAGGAACUGGAAUCAGUCAACAGGCAAGCCCGACUCCCAGUUCCAGCCUGAACACUGGUCAGCUGAAGACAACGCUGCCACCUUCAUCUCUUCCCUGCCUGUCCUGCUUACAACAGUUGCAAGAAGUUUAUACCCACAUUAAGCCCCCAGAGGCAGGCUGGCAGCCAGCCUUCGCCACUGGUGCAGAGAACUGAGUCAACCACCCGGUGUUCCUGGCUGCUCCCCCUGAGAAGCUUUCCCACCCUGUUCCCUGAGUCGAGAGUCUUGGCUGGGCACCUGCUGCACUGUGGACGUGCGGACGCGGCCUCCAGAAGGGGGAAGGGAGCCCUGGCUGGCUUCUCUGAGACGUGUUGAGUGGCUUGCCAUUGAAGACUGUUUCCUCACUCAGGCAGCUGCAUGCCCCAAGUGAGUGACUUCCUCUCUCUGGACUCAGUUUCUGAAUCUGUAGACAAAGAGGGUGGACCAGAUGGUCUUGGAGGUGCCUUCCAGGUCACAUCUCUCCUGUUUCUAACAGCAGGUGGAAGCAGGUGAGGAGGGCAGUCGGGCAGAGAGGAAUGGAGAGGAAUUCCCCCACAGAGGCUCUUGGGAACCACACAAUUCCCCAUUCUGGUGCCACCUGCUUCAAGGAUGUGAGUGAGAGCAGUGCUGGCCUUGAAGCCUACAUCGGUGGGUAGUCUAGCCUCCCUAGAUGUGUCCUUAGGUGUCAUGGGAUCCAUAUCUGGAUCAUCAAGGAGACCUCACUUAGGCUUCUCUUGACUUACCAGGAAAGGCUAAGUCUUGCUUCGGGCAGGCAGCUGCCUCUGGGGCCCGGGCCUGUGGCCCCAGGGGAAAGAAUUGUUGCCCCAAGAUGCUCAUGCAAUGUUGUGUGACUGUGGCAAGGCUGUGCCAUUUUAGCUGGGAUCAACACGCUAAUGGGCACAGGUCCAGGGGGAGUGCAGGUGCCUUCCUGGGUGCAAAGUGGCCCUCAUCCCCAUAGCACACAAUGUCUGCACAGCUGAGGCUGGAAGGGACUGGCUGAGGGCCGUGCUGGUGUGGGCAGAUCCCUGGAAGAUCACCUGGGCCAUCUCCUCAUUCUAAAGAUGAGAAGAACGAGGCUUGGAGAGGAUGAGUGUCUUGUUGAGGGUUGCACAGCAAGUUGGGGACACAGCUGCAGGAAAUCCAAGUCUCCUGAUUCCUAGCCCAUGAUAUUUUCUCUCCCACCAAGUUGAAAGGCUGAGGUGAUGGGAGGCCUGGCAUACCACAGAUGGAAACUUGCAUCGUUGCCCCCGGGGCUCAGAUGAUUCUCUAAAAAUGUGUCUGAGGAAGUGAGAGUGCAGGGCCUCUCCUCACACGUUGGAGCUGUAAGUAGGGCACGUGCUUUCAGCUCCAGGCAGGACUGGAGAAGGUUAUGGAAGGGCAGCCAACCAAGAAGCACUUAUUUAAGCAUUUUUAUGUGCCUAGCCCUGAGCUAGGCAUAGUAGGGCAUAAAGGAGCUUUGAAGGACCCUCCCAACACAGCAAUUUCACUGCAGCUGGUGAGCAAAUUUAACUCACAAAUCAAUUACAAAAACAACCUCAUGCAAGCUACUGUUUGUGUAAUAAAAUGUAAGAACAUAUAUUUGUAUUUGCGUAAAGGAAAUCUGGAAGGAUAUAAAAAGAUAAUAAAAGUGUUAACUAAACAGUUACGUGAUGGGGUGGGGGUGAGAUUUUUGUCCUUUGUACCUUUUAAUUACAAAAUUAUUUUGAACUAUGUGAAUGCAUUUUCUUUGCAAAACAUUAAAUACAAACAAUAACAAAAAACCCAGACAACUAAAUGUGAAUUGGGUGGCAAGGGGCCAAAGGGAUUUGGGAAAAGCAGAGUUCAGAAGAUGUCAUAGAGCUGAUCCAGGUUUCUGGAAGGCCAGAACUGGAAGAGACUGUUGGCGUUAUUUUGUCCAACUUCCCAUUCAAUGCUCGUGUGUUUUGUACAACAGCCAAGACAUGGACCUUCGAGAGUCCCUCACUCAAUAAUUCCUAAAUGCUAUGGCAUGACAGUGCUAACCUAGGGGUCACAAUGCACAGAUAGGUCGGUCCCUGUCUCAAUGGCCUUAUGUUCUCCAAGUGUACCCUUGACUGAAGUGCCAAGGAGAUUCUGAUUCCUAGGGAAAAACAAGAAACACAGGAGUUAAAGGGCUUGGAAGGAGGAUAGAAUUAGGGAAAGCAGCAGAGUUUAGUUAGGAUUUGAAAUAAAUCUCAAAGGAGGGGUCAAGUUUUGACAAUCGGAGGACAGGAGUACCAGGUGGUAGGGAUAUGGAUAAAGAUAGAGAUAGAGGCAUGUUCUCAGGAUUAGCAGGGGACUAGGCCAGGUAGGGUGGAAUAGUAGGGUGGGAAUCUGGGUGAGUAUAUGUUGUAGAUUGUAUUGACUGUCAGUUUGAGCUUUUUUUUUUUUUUUUAAUUCAAUAGAACAUGGAGAACCAAUAAAGAUUCCUGAGCAUGUGCUUGAGUCAUUCUUCUUGAAAUUCUCCAGUGAGUGGGAACUCCCUAUUUCAUCCAAGAACUCAUGAGGAUGAGCUUCUUGGAAGCAGUAGGAAUUGAUCUGGGGCUUCAAGGAUCAGAAUGUCGAAGGUACUCUGGGUGGAGGGAAGAACGAGUCUAGUGUUAAUGCGCACUGGGAAAGGAUUUUGAGCAUGAGAGAGCAUAUCCAUGCUGUGCGUUGGGUAGACAGCUCUGGCUGUGCUAUCUAGGAUAGGCUGGAGGAAGGGUUGCUUGAAGCAGCAUGACAAGUUAGGAGUCCCUCACAAUUGUCCUAAGAAGAGAUUCUGAAAGCCUGACUUAGGAGGUAGUAAUGGGAGUGGAAAGGCACACUGGAAAGACUCAUUCCUCUCCUAUCCCUGAGGUCCUCUUUGCUUGGAUUAGAACAAAACAAAACAAGACAAAACAACCAACAAACUUCUGACUCACUUGCCAGUCUCAAGGGAAGAGACUAUCCUUAGCUCAACAGUCCAAGAUCUCUGUUUACUAGAUAUUUUCCUGGGUCAUUUCUUUAUUUCCUGUGCCACUGGCAGGGGGUGGCAGCUGUGGUCACCCUGGCCCUGGUGUUUUUUGGCAUUUUGCUGCAGUUUAGAUUGUGUUGAUGGUAGGAUAAACAUUUCCAUCCUUGGGCAUCUUGUUCCAUGCCAGAGGAAAGGUACUCAACGGUGUUGAAGCCACUGAUACAGCUGGCCUCAACCUUCUCAUCUUGCAUAUGAGAAAAUGGAGGUCCGGAGAGUUAAAGAACAUGUUCAAAUCAUGUGGGGAGAAGUGGGGACACAGGAGCAG